CUCUCGCCUCCCCCGGCCCGUGUCAGGCCGGGCGACUGGAGAGGCUAAUAGGAAACCCCGACCCGAGGCGCUGAGGCCAGGAGGGAGGGCAGAGCGGGUCAGAGGCCGGCCCUUCCCGGCCCCCGGCGCCCCCGGAGGUCAGGGAGAUAAGGAACAAUGACUCUCGCCCCCGGGAGGAGGAAGGAAGCCCCGCUGCCGCCGCCUUAUCUCCGCUCCUGUGCGUUCACCCAGUUCCCAGAGCGGGUUCUCUAGAGAGGACUUGGAAGGCGGCUUUUGUGCUGAUGGCCAGCCCCAUCAUCUGAAGGUGAAUUUGGCGAAUGAUAUGCAGGUUCUCCAGGACAAUCACAGAAAAUCGUCAAAGGACCCCCUCUGCAGAUGUCCUGAACACUUUUGACUACAGCAAUUGAUUCUUCAACCAGGAUACCUAAUUCCAGACCUGCAGGAAUCAGGAGACAGACAUUUUCUCAGUUUU
This 472-nucleotide long non-coding RNA is filed under the name Moschus moschiferus (Siberian musk deer). Its description in RNAcentral is "lncRNA (ENSMMSG00000015063.1)". Lineage: Eukaryota; Metazoa; Chordata; Mammalia; Artiodactyla; Moschidae. The record is from RNAcentral.